This 264-nucleotide long non-coding RNA is filed under the name Brassica napus (rape). RNAcentral describes it as "long non-coding RNA (BNAP_LNC021750)". Lineage: Eukaryota; Viridiplantae; Streptophyta; Magnoliopsida; Brassicales; Brassicaceae. The record is from RNAcentral.
AAAAACUUGAAGUGCUCCUGAAAGUUUAUGGGAAAAGGCGUAGGAGUUGUUCCUCGAUCAAAGCAAAGGUUGUUCUCCAUGAUGAUGGGUGUUAUACUUGGUGCUUUCUUUUCCUCAAAAUCCUGUGAAAAUAGAACAAGACUGCUCGGAUGCUCCGGUUGUAAAAAGGUUAGUUCUGUAAUAGUCUGUUCUUUAUUAAACAUAAAAUCAAGUUCUGGAAAAGGAAGAUCGCAAUUAUCCUCACAAAUCAUCAAACUUUCAAUU